AAUGAACGCUGGCGGCAGGCCUAACACACGCAAGUCGAACGAGGUAGCAAUACCUAGUGGCGGACGGGUGAGUAACGCGUGGGAACGUGCCCCUUGGUACGGAAUAGCCCUGGGAAACUGGGAGUAAUACCGUAUGUGGUCGAGAGACGAAAGAUUUAUCGCCAAGGGAUCGGCCCGCGUUGGAUUAGGUAGUUGGUGGGGUAAUGGCCUACCAAGCCGACGAUCCAUAGCUGGUUUGAGAGGAUGAUCAGCCACACUGGGACUGAGACACGGCCCAGACUCCUACGGGAGGCAGCAGUGGGGAAUCUUAGACAAUGGGGGAAACCCUGAUCUAGCCAUGCCGCGUGAUCGAUGAAGGCCUUAGGGUUGUAAAGAUCUUUCAGUGGGGAAGAUAAUGACGGUACCCACAGAAGAAGCCCCGGCUAACUCCGUGCCAGCAGCCGCCGCAG
RNAcentral lists this ribosomal RNA (449 nucleotides) under uncultured bacterium. RNAcentral's name for it is "partial 16S ribosomal RNA". It matches the Rfam family "Bacterial small subunit ribosomal RNA", at positions 29 to 523 of the family's 1533-position model. The record is from RNAcentral.